GACGAACGCUGGCGGCGUGCCUAAUACAUGCAAGUCGAACGCAGUGGGGACGGGUGAGUAACACGUGGGUAACCUCCCAUCAGAGGGGAUAACACUUGGAAACAGGUGCUAAACCGAUACUGAUGGAUGAACCCGCGGUGCAUUAGCUAGUUGGUGAGGGAACGGCUCACCAAGGGCACGAUGCAUAGACGACCGGAGAGGGUGAUCGGCCACACUGGGACGUGGCCAGGGACAAGACUCCGACGGGAGGCAGCAGUAGGGAAUCUUCGGCAAUGGACGAAAGUCUGACCGAGCAACGCGGCGUGAGUGAAGAAGGUUUUCGGAUCGUAAAACUCUGUUGUUAGAGAAGCGGUAUCUAACCAGAAAGCAACGGCUAACUACGUGCCAGCCGCCGCGGUAAUUC
This 403-nucleotide ribosomal RNA is filed under the name uncultured bacterium. RNAcentral describes it as "partial 16S ribosomal RNA". It matches the Rfam family "Bacterial small subunit ribosomal RNA", at positions 28 to 526 of the family's 1533-position model. The record is from RNAcentral.